Long non-coding RNA from Oreochromis aureus, 1123 nucleotides. The record is from Ensembl. Lineage: Eukaryota; Metazoa; Chordata; Actinopteri; Cichliformes; Cichlidae.
AGGACAGUUAAUCGCCUGAUGAAGACCGACAGAACAUCCCUUUAAGAAAAAUGAAUAUAAUACUAAUUAUAUGGUUUAGUGUGUCAAUACAGGUGGGCGUCUUUCAACUUUGCAACCUUGAGUUCAGCAGCAGAAAAGUAGAUUAAAAGAAUUGGGAGAGAAUAAGCCAGUUUUUGGCUCGAAAUUGUGCGGCUGGAUCUCUCACUUUGUCCCUGAAGCGGAGAAGAAGUUCAAAGGACAGUUAAUCGCCUGAUGAAGACAGAUAGAACAUCGUGGACUUGAAUACAGCAGGCAAACGGCAGUGCCACUGAUCCAUUAACACUGAUGACGACUGACGACCAGCAGCAGCAUGUAAGACUAAUGCAACAUGUACUGUGAAAAUACAGGCUGGGCAGUUGAACAGUGGGAUAAAGAAUUGUGGAAGAGCACUGGACAUUGAGUGAUAUUUUGCCACGCUGGGACUUAAUCUGAAAGAAAAGACUGUAAAGAAACAGAGAAGAAGACAGCAGCUGAGUUGAGACUGUGUUUGCUGGAGCUUUGAAGCCCGAAUAGGACAUUGUGCAGAGAGGACCAGUGAGAGAUGAAGCUGGACGAGUUUGACUGCGAGAAUAUAGGAUAUAAUUGGAAUGAAAAUUGAAGCCUGAACUCAUGAAUUGUUUAGGGAUGUCCACCACCGCAUAACAAAGAGGUAAACAUUAGAAAAGGUAAGAAUAAUGAACGAAGAUAAUUGUCAUUACCUUAAUGAAUAGAAAACACACAUACAAAUUGUUACAUGUGAGAUUAUUUUUGAAAUGAAUCAGAAGUGAGAUAGUUUGAAUCUAAAGCUCAGUGGUGAAAUGCAUAAAUUAAAUAUGAAUAUAUAGGAUGCAAUGAAGAAACAGCUUACACGUAGUGUACAGUAACAUGAAUACAUCGCAAGGCAACGAAGAACUCAAUGAAUUAAUUUAAUUUAAUGAAGAAGCAGUUUACACCCAAUUAACAUAAAAUGCAGGGAAGAACACGCUUACAUGCCUGGCAUAAUUGGUGUUUCUGAUCGGAGAUAGAGAAAUGGGUUAUUUAACCACUGGUGAUAAUAAUGAAAAUGUCUUAGUUUUGUUAUUUUCAGGAGUAAAGCAGACUUGGA